Molecule: ribosomal RNA, 506 nt
Filed under: uncultured bacterium
Lineage: Bacteria
Description: bacterial SSU rRNA
Rfam family: Bacterial small subunit ribosomal RNA
Source: RNAcentral
AGUGGGGAAUAUUGGACAAUGGGCGCAAGCCUGAUCCAGCAAUACCGCGUGUGUGAAGAAGGCCUGAGGGUUGUAAAGCACUUUCAAUUGGGAGGAAUACCUAGUGAUUAAUACUCGCUAGAUUGACAUUACCUUUAGAAGAAGCACCGGCUAACUCCGUGCCAGCAGCCGCGGUAAUACGGAGGGUGCAAGCGUUAAUCGGAAUUACUGGGCGUAAAGCGUUCGUAGGCGGUUGUCUAAGUUAGAUGUGAAAGCCCUGGGCUUAACCUGGGAAUUGCAUUUAAAACUGGGUGACUAGAGUUUGGGAGAGGAGAGUGGAAUUUCAGGUGUAGCGGUGAAAUGCGUAGAGAUCUGAAGGAACACCAGUGGCGAAGGCGGCUCUCUGGACUAAAACUGACGCUGAGGAACGAAAGCAUGGGUAGCAAACGGGAUUAGAUACCCCGGUAGUCCAUGCCGUAAACGAUGUCAACUAACUGUUGGGUACUUAGGUACUUAGUGGUGGAGCU